This 275-nucleotide ribosomal RNA is filed under the name uncultured bacterium. Its description in RNAcentral is "partial 16S ribosomal RNA". It matches the Rfam family "Bacterial small subunit ribosomal RNA", at positions 524 to 795 of the family's 1533-position model. The record is from RNAcentral.
GACAGAGGGUGCAAACGUUGCUCGGAAUCACUGGGCGUAAAGGGCGUGUAGGCGGGUAGGCAAGUCGGGCGUGAAAUCCCUGAGCUCAACUCAGGAACUGCACUCGAAACUGCUUAUCUUGAGUGCCGGAGAGGAAAGCGGAAUACCCUGGUGUAGAGGUGAAAUUCGUAGAUAUCAGGUGGAACACCAGUGGCGAAGGCGGCUUCUGGACGGUAACUGACGCUGAGACGCGAAGCGUGGGGAGCAAACAGGAUUGAAGAUACCCGUAGUAAGUC